Molecule: long non-coding RNA, 239 nt
Filed under: Ananas comosus (pineapple)
Lineage: Eukaryota; Viridiplantae; Streptophyta; Magnoliopsida; Poales; Bromeliaceae
Description: long non-coding RNA (ACOM_LNC006559)
Source: RNAcentral
CUCAAAACUACCUAAAAAAAACUAUGCAUAAGCCACUUCCAACCAAUAACAUAUUUUCAAGCUACUGACCGUCCUUAACGUAAGCGACAACAAAAUUUAAUAGUCAAUAUAUAUUCGAGAUUUCAAUUUCGAAGCUUAGCUGAUUGCUUUAUAAAUUUGUAAUUAACGAAACAGAUAAUAUGCUAUUUUUCUCACUCAAAAAGAAAAAUUCGAGUUGAUUAUACAUAAUUCUAUAAACU